CGACCGGCGCACGGGUGAGUAACACGUAUGCAACCUGGCCGUGACAGAUGGAUAACCGGGAGAAAUCCCGCCUAAUACAACAUAAUGCCGGGAGGGGACAUCCCCUGCCGGUCAAAGGGGGCGACCCCGGUCAUGGAUGGGCAUGCGGCGCAUUAGGUAGUUGGUGGGGCAACGGCCCACCAAGCCGACGAUGCGUAGGGGUUCUGAGAGGAAGGUCCCCCACAUUGGAACUGAGACACGGUCCAAACUCCUACGGAAGGCAGCAG
This 266-nucleotide ribosomal RNA is filed under the name uncultured bacterium. Its description in RNAcentral is "partial 16S ribosomal RNA". It matches the Rfam family "Bacterial small subunit ribosomal RNA", at positions 92 to 354 of the family's 1533-position model. The record is from RNAcentral.